AUUGAACGCUGGCGGCAUGCCUUACACAUGCAAGUCGAACGGCAGCACGGGUGCUUGCACCUGGUGGCGAGUGGCGAACGGGUGAGUAAUACAUCUGAACAUGUCCUGUAGUGGGGGAUAGCCCGGCGAAAGCCGGAUUAAUACCGCAUACGAACUACGGAUAACGGCGGGUGACCUUCUGACCGCGCGCUAUAGGGUUGGCCGAUGGCUGAUUAGCUAGUUGGUGGGGUAACGGCCUACCAAGGCGACGAUCAGUAGCUGGUCUGAGAGGACGACCAGCCACACUGGGACUGAGACACGGCCCAGACUCCUACGGGAGGCAGCAGUGGGGAAUUUUGGACAAUGGGCGAAAGCCUGAUGCAGCAAUGCCGCGUGUGUGAAGAAGGUCUUCGGGUCGUAAAGCUCUUUUGUUAGGAAAGAAAAACUUGGCAAGAAACCGGUCGCGGGAUGACGGUACCUAAACAAUAAGCCACGGCUAACUACGUG
RNAcentral lists this ribosomal RNA (486 nucleotides) under uncultured bacterium. Its description in RNAcentral is "partial 16S ribosomal RNA". It matches the Rfam family "Bacterial small subunit ribosomal RNA", at positions 30 to 507 of the family's 1533-position model. The record is from RNAcentral.